This 537-nucleotide long non-coding RNA is filed under the name Elaeis guineensis (African oil palm). RNAcentral describes it as "long non-coding RNA (EGUI_LNC009925)". The record is from RNAcentral. Lineage: Eukaryota; Viridiplantae; Streptophyta; Magnoliopsida; Arecales; Arecaceae.
CAUCAAGUGAUAGCUUGACACUACGGCCUUUAAAGUUCACAAACUUAGACGAUCCAAGAUUGCAUUGUAGGCCGAAGAAAGUUUAACCAUCAAAAAAUUAAUUUGAAUCAUUGAUAAAUAUUUAAAUUAAAUUAUUAGAAAUAUUUAAAUUUAUUUAAUUUUUUUUUAUUUAUUUUAUAGAAGAUUAAAAGAUUAAUGCGGAUACGAUGUAUGUGUAACGGUUCGUUAAAGGACAUAUGAGAAAUUAUAUCAAAUGAACCAAGGCUUUUGCUGGAAGGAGGAGGAUGUAAGAGCAUUAAAUGCUCAUGGCCCAUAGCAUUUAAUCCAUUCAAAGGAGAAGUGGCGUGCUAAACUAUUGGGUGCUAUCCAAUGGCUCAUGUUGUGAGGAACACUUGAUCAGACAGCCACAAUCCCUCUUUUCCAUAUACUUUAGUGGUGGCCCCCUGCUUGAAUACCAUCCAAUGGUCUAAAGUGUUCUUGACCAUGAUCCGGUUGCAGAACCAAACAAAUACGGCAUUCACGCAGCUGCUGGCAACG